UGCCUCGAUGACCGGGACAACCCGAGGAAGCUCGGGCUAAUACCGGAUGUGCCCGCAAGGGGAAAGGAAGCUUCGGCCUCCGCAUCGAGAUGGGCCCGCGGCCCAUUAGCUUGUUGGUGAGGUAACGGCUCACCAAGGCUUCGAUGGGUAGCUGGUCUGAGAGGACGAUCAGCCACACUGGGACUGAGACACGGCCCAGACUCCUACGGGAGGCAGCAGUGGGGAAUCUUGCGCAAUGCGCGAAAGCGUGACGCAUCAACGCCGCGUGGGGGAAGAAGGCUUUCGGGUUGUAAACCCCUUUCAGUUGGGACGAAGCUUCGCCGG
RNAcentral lists this ribosomal RNA (324 nucleotides) under uncultured Conexibacter sp. Its description in RNAcentral is "bacterial SSU rRNA". It matches the Rfam family "Bacterial small subunit ribosomal RNA", at positions 127 to 459 of the family's 1533-position model. The record is from RNAcentral. Lineage: Bacteria; Bacillati; Actinomycetota; Thermoleophilia; Solirubrobacterales; Conexibacteraceae.